AUACGGAGGAUCCGAGCGUUAUCCGGAUUUAUUGGGUUUAAAGGGAGCGUAGGUGGACAGUUAAGUCAGUUGUGAAAGUUUGCGGCUCAACCGUAAAAUUGCAGUUGAUACUGGGUGUCUUGAGUACAGUAGAGGCAGGGGGAAUUCGUGGUGUAGCGGUGAAAUGCUUAGAUAUCACGAAGAACUCCGAUUGCGAAGGCAGCUUGCUGGACUGUAACUGACGCUGAUGCUCGAAAGUGUGGGUAUCAAACAGGAUUAGAUACCCUGGUAGUCCACACAGUAAACGAUGAAUACUCGCUGUUUGCGAUAUACAGUAAGCGGCCAAGCGAAAGCGUUAAGUAUUCCACCUGGGGAGUACGCCGGCAACGGUGAAACUUAAAGGAAUUGACGGGG
RNAcentral lists this ribosomal RNA (393 nucleotides) under uncultured bacterium. Its description in RNAcentral is "partial 16S ribosomal RNA". It matches the Rfam family "Bacterial small subunit ribosomal RNA", at positions 523 to 918 of the family's 1533-position model. The record is from RNAcentral.